This 463-nucleotide ribosomal RNA is filed under the name uncultured bacterium. RNAcentral's name for it is "partial 16S ribosomal RNA". It matches the Rfam family "Bacterial small subunit ribosomal RNA", at positions 28 to 507 of the family's 1533-position model. The record is from RNAcentral.
GACGAACGCUGGCGGCGUGCUUAACACAUGCAAGUCGAACGGUGAACCUCUUCGGAGGGGAUCAGUGGCGAACGGGUGAGUAACACGUGGGCAACCUGCCCCCGGCUCUGGGAUAACUCCAAGAAAUUGGGGCUAAUACCGGAUGUUCACCGCUUCUCGCAUGGGUGGUGGUGGAAAGGGUUUCCGGCUGGGGAUGGGCCCGCGGCCUAUCAGCUUGUUGGUGGGGUAGUGGCCUACCAAGGCGACGACGGGUAGCCGGCCUGAGAGGGUGACCGGCCACACUGGGACUGAGACACGGCCCAGACUCCUACGGGAGGCAGCAGUGGGGAAUAUUGCGCAAUGGGCGGAAGCCUGACGCAGCGACGCCGCGUGGGGGAUGACGGCCUUCGGGUUGUAAACCUCUUUCGGCAGUGACGAAGCGCAAGUGACGGUACCGGGAGAGGAAGCACCGGCCAACUACGUG